RNAcentral lists this long non-coding RNA (914 nucleotides) under Homo sapiens (human). Its description in RNAcentral is "HSALNT0248765". Lineage: Eukaryota; Metazoa; Chordata; Mammalia; Primates; Hominidae. The record is from RNAcentral.
ACCACUUUCACUGAUGACGCAGGUAUGAUUUUUAUUGCUUAAUAGCAGCAUCAAGAAAACUGAACUUCAAAUUCAAAUUGAAAAGUGAACCUCAAAUCAAGCAGUAUUUCUCAUCAGUAAUGAUGGGGAGGGAUUUGAAAGUCCUGCUUACCAUGUAAAUUUGAACUAUCUGGGAAUGGGACCGCUCUCUGGCAUGCAUCACGCCAGCAUUUUUACCAAAAAUGGAGAUUUCCUUCCACCUCCACUUCUUCCCAGUCAGGUCACAUGAAACAGGGAAACUAUGGGAUCAGGCAAACCUAAAUUUCAUUCGUGAUUCCACUUUAAAACAGGAAACUUAUUAUCUACUCUGUAGGAAAACAUAAAAUAAUUUUUGCAAAGUACACAGUAGCAAAGGAUUGGCUUCUUUCCAUCCUGAAGAUCUGCAGCUUAAAACAACUUCAGUGUGACAUUGUUCCCUGAUACCACACUCAUAAAGUUUUAUUCACACAUAACAGACCUUCCUUCAAAUCCCACCUCCUCCACUAAAUAGCACAUUAUUCAACCUCAGUUUCCUCUUCUAUAAAAUGGGCACAAUAAUAGAACCUAGCUCACAGAGUAGAGGGGAACAGAUGAUAAAGUGCAUUUAAAUGCUUAGCCUGGUGUCUGACACAUAAUAAAAUUUUUGCUAACAGAAUUACAAUAAUACAAAUAACAAUAACAUUUCAGUUCUAUUCGAAUUUGCACAUUAACCAACACUUAGAUGGGUCAGCAGCAAAGGUUUGGGGUAGUUUGCCAUUUUUUCCUUCUUAAAUUUCCUUGGCUGUGCUUCUUUCCCUCCCUUCCCAGGGCAGGUCUGUUUCAAUUCAGCCGCUGGCUGGAACAUCUGGCAGGUUGCCCACUCUUGACGUUUUCUGUUUGUGGAGCCAACAGGGUGG